This 389-nucleotide long non-coding RNA is filed under the name Medicago truncatula (barrel medic). RNAcentral's name for it is "long non-coding RNA (MTRU_LNC005287)". The record is from RNAcentral. Lineage: Eukaryota; Viridiplantae; Streptophyta; Magnoliopsida; Fabales; Fabaceae.
CUAACAUUUGCAUAGAAUAAAAAUAAAUUCUUACAUACAGUACACCUCAAUUUUACAAAGACACAGUGUCAAAAUAAUACAAAUAAAAAGAAAUUACAAUUACGUCAAAAAAUAAAUAUAUACUACAACUUUACAAGGUAAAUGUUAUUGGUCAAUUCAUUAUUUGCUUUAGGAGGAGAUAGGAAGGUGCUCACACACCCCUUGUGAUUGCCCUCAUUCAUUGCCAGCUAAGAAAAAUGAAAUAACAACUCAAUUAAAAAUAUUCUGAAAAUGAGAAGCUAGAAUUUAACAAUUUAGAAGGAACAAAAAAUUUACAGUAUUUUCUCUUGUACUUGCAAAAAGCACAAUAAGGAAUACUAAUGUUAAGUAUCGUUUAGACUGAUUAUUUG